CCUACGGGUGGCAGCAGUGAGGAAUAUUGGUCAAUGGUCGGGAGACUGAACCAGCCAAGCCGCGUGAGGGAUGAAGGUACAGAGUAUCGUAAACCUCUUUUGUCAGGGAACAAAGGCGGGGACGUGUCCCCGGAUUCGUGUACCUGAAGAAAAAGCAUCGGCUAACUCCGUGCCAGCAGCCGCGGUAAUACGGAGGAUGCGAGCGUUGUUCGGAAUGACUGGGCGUAAGGGGUGUGUAGGUGGUUUGAUAAGUUAGAUGUGUAAUACCCAGGGCUUAACUCGGGUGCUGCAUCUAAAACUGUUAGACUUGAGUACUGGAGAGGAUAGUGGAAUGCCUAGUGUAGCGGUGGAAUGCGUAGAUAUUAGGAGGAACAUCAGUGGCGAAGGCGACUAUCUGGACAGCAACUGACACUGAGGCACGAAAGCGUGGGGAGCAAACAGGAUUAGAUACCCGUGUAGUC
This 461-nucleotide ribosomal RNA is filed under the name uncultured bacterium. Its description in RNAcentral is "partial 16S ribosomal RNA". It matches the Rfam family "Bacterial small subunit ribosomal RNA", at positions 338 to 795 of the family's 1533-position model. The record is from RNAcentral.